This 465-nucleotide ribosomal RNA is filed under the name uncultured Klebsiella sp. Its description in RNAcentral is "bacterial SSU rRNA". It matches the Rfam family "Bacterial small subunit ribosomal RNA", at positions 338 to 795 of the family's 1533-position model. The record is from RNAcentral. Lineage: Bacteria; Pseudomonadati; Pseudomonadota; Gammaproteobacteria; Enterobacterales; Enterobacteriaceae.
CCUACGGGGGGCAGCAGUGGGGAAUAUUGCACAAUGGGCGCAAGCCUGAUGCAGCCAUGCCGCGUGUGUGAAGAAGGCCUUCGGGUUGUAAAGCACUUUCAGCGGGGAGGAAGGCGUUAAGGUUAAUAACCUUGGCGAUUGACGUUACCCGCAGAAGAAGCACCGGCUAACUCCGUGCCAGCAGCCGCGGUAAUACGGAGGGUGCAAGCGUUAAUCGGAAUUACUGGGCGUAAAGCGCACGCAGGCGGUCUGUCAAGUCGGAUGUGAAAUCCCCGGGCUCAACCUGGGAACUGCAUUCGAAACUGGCAGGCUAGAGUCUUGUAGAGGGGGGUAGAAUUCCAGGUGUAGCGGUGAAAUGCGUAGAGAUCGGGAGGAAUACCGGUGGCGAAGGCGGCCCCCUGGACAAAGACUGACGCUCAGGUGCGAUAGCGUGGGGAGCAAACAGGAUUAGAUACCCGAGGAGUC